This 1468-nucleotide ribosomal RNA is filed under the name metagenome. RNAcentral's name for it is "bacterial SSU rRNA". It matches the Rfam family "Bacterial small subunit ribosomal RNA". The record is from RNAcentral.
AGAGUUUGAUCCUGGCUCAGACCGAACGUUGGCGGCGUGCUUAACACAUGCAAGUCGAACGCGAACCCCUGGCAACAGGGUAGUAGAGUGGCGAAUGGGUGAGUAAUACAUGGGUAACCUACCUAGUUGAAGUGGAUAGCAACGGGAAACUGUUGGUAAUACAUUAUAAGUCUUGGGGAAUGGAAAAACUCAAGAGAAAGUGUCAUGCUUCGGUAUGAUUGCGCGACUAGAUGGGCCUGUGUCGCAUUAGCUAGUUGGUAGGGUAAAGGCUUACCAAGGCAAAGAUGCGUAGCUGGUCUGAGAGGAUGAACAGCCACACUGGAACUGAGAUACGGUCCAGACUCCUACGGGAGGCAGCAGUGGGGAAUAUUGCGCAAUGGGGGAAACCCUGACGCAGCAACGCCGCGUGAGUGAAGAAGGUUUUCGAAUUGUAAAGCUCUGUCGAGUGGGACGAGUAAGGACGGUACCACUAAAGGAAGCACCGGCUAACUCCGUGCCAGCAGCCGCGGUAAUACGGAGGGUGCAAACGUUGUUCGGAAUUACUGGGCGUAAAGGGCGUGUAGGCGGAUUAUUAAGUUUAUCGUGAAAGCUUAUGGCUCAACCAUAAAAGGUCGAUAGAUACUGGUAGUCUAGAGUAUCUGAGAGGGUCGCGGAAUUCCGCAAGUAGCAGUGGAAUGCGCAGAUAUGCGGAGGAACACCAGAAGCGAAGGCGGCGACCUGGCAGAUUACUGACGCUAAGGCGCGAAAGCGUGGGUAGCAAACAGGAUUAGAUACCCUGGUAGUCCACGCCGUAAACGAUGGAUACUAGACGUUGGAGGAGAUAAUUCUUUCAGUGUCGUAGCUUACGCGUUAAGUAUCCCGCCUGGGGAAUACGGUCGCAAGAUUAAAACUCAGAGGAAUUGACGGGGGCCCGCACAAGCGGUGGAGCAUGUGGUUUAAUUCGAAGCAACGCGAAGAACCUUACCUGGAUUUGUAUCCGGACUGAUUAACCUAGAGAUAGGAUAAGCCCUUCGGGGGGUCCGUGACAGGUGCUGCAUGGCUGUCGUCAGCUCGUGUCGUGAGAUGUUGGGUUAAGUCCCGCAACGAGCGCAACCCUUGUCUUUAGUUGCCAAUAUCUAGUUAGGCACUCUAGAGAGACUGCCGGUGAUAAACCGGAGGAAGGCGGGGAUGACGUCAAGUCCUCAUGGCCUUUAUAUCCAGGGCUACACACGUGCUACAAUGGUAGAGACAAAGCGUAGCGGAGCAGCGAUGCGGAGCCAAUCGCAAAAACACUAUCUCAGUACGGAUUGGAGUCUGCAAUCCGACUCCAUGAAGCUGGAAUCGCUAGUAAUCGUGGAUCAGCGUGCCACGGUGAAUACGUUCCCGGGCCUUGUACACACCGCCCGUCACACCAUGAGAGUUGUGCUAACCAGAAGUCGUUAAGCUAACCCGCAAGGGAGGCAGACGCCCAAGGUUGGUAUGGCGAUUA